AACGCGAAGAACCUUACCAAGGCUUGACAUAUAGAGGAAAAGUGCAGAAAUGCACUCCCCGUAAGGUCUCUAUACAGGUGGUGCAUGGUUGUCGUCAGCUCGUGUCGUGAGAUGUUGGGUUAAGUCCCGCAACGAGCGCAACCCUCGUCCUAUGUUGCCAGCACGUAAUGGUGGGAACUCAUGGGAUACUGCCGGGGUCAACUCGGAGGAAGGUGGGGAUGACGUCAAAUCAUCAUGCCCCUUAUGUCUUGGGCUUCACGCAUGCUACAAUGGCCGGUACAGAGGGCUGCAAUACCGUAAGGUGGAGCGAAUCCCAAAAAGCCGGUCUCAGUUCGGAUUGAGGUCUGCAACUCGACCUCAUGAAGUCGGAGUCGCUAGUAAUCGUAGAUCAGCAACGCUACGGUGAAUACGUUCCCGGGUCUUGUACACACCG
Molecule: ribosomal RNA, 433 nt
Filed under: uncultured bacterium
Lineage: Bacteria
Description: bacterial SSU rRNA
Rfam family: Bacterial small subunit ribosomal RNA
Source: RNAcentral